CCCCACUUCAGUGGAAAGCCAGCGUUCCUCAGGCUAUGCAAACCCAGUGUUCAACAGCGACACAGUGUGGUCACCACUGGCGCAGCAGCUCCAGCGAGAGGCUCAACCAUUUUAGGACCCUCCCUCCACCUGCAGUUUGAAGGUUGCUGACCUCCCCCAUGGACCCAGAAUGCCCCCAGACUUCACGGACAAUAGGGAAGGUGAGGAUCUUCAAGAUGCAAUACUGGACUUUCUACAAAUAAAGACAACUGGGAUGUAAGUGAUUGUUUUUUUAAAUUUUCAAUGUGCUCAUAUGACAUUUUCUGAAUGUGUGCUCCCCCAAAAUUCACAUGUUUAAACUGUAAUCCCCGAGCUGAUGGCAUUAGGAAGUGGGGCCUUUGAGAGGUGAUAAGGUCAGGAGGGCAGAGCCCUCAUGAUGGGAUUAGUGCCCUCAUGAAAGAAACGCUGGAGAGCUGCCUCGCCC
RNAcentral lists this long non-coding RNA (463 nucleotides) under Homo sapiens (human). RNAcentral's name for it is "non-protein coding lnc-EMC8-7:1". The record is from RNAcentral. Lineage: Eukaryota; Metazoa; Chordata; Mammalia; Primates; Hominidae.